GAAACUAACCAGGAUUCCCCCAGUAACGGCGAGUGAACGGGGAUUAGCCCAGCAUCGAAGCCUAUGGUUAUUUGACUUUAAGGCAAUGUGAUGUUAUGGAUUGUGCCUAGGGUCACUGGUCAACUCGAAGUCCAAUAUUGAAUGUGGCUUUUGUAUUUAGCCCAGAGCGGGUGAUAGGCCCGUGCGAGUUGAUUGUUAGUUAUGUUGAGUGGCCUCUGGAUGCACAGUCUUUGGAGUCGGAUUGCUUGAGAAUGCAGUCCAAAGUUGGUGGUAAACUCCAUCAAAGGCUAAAUACUGGCACGAGUCCGAUAGCAAACAAGUCCCGUGAGGGAAAGUUGAAAAGUACUCUGAAGAGAGAGUAAAUAGUACGUGAAACCACAUGCAGGUAAACGGGUGGAGUCCAGCUGCGUAUUUUGUGGGCUUAGCUGGCAUGUGAAUUUAUGGGUGUUGUAAACUGCCACAUAUUGGUUUGUCGAUAAGGGCAAGUUAGGCCUGGCCUAAUUUAAGUUCUAUCAUGUAGAUUGUAUUAGCCAUAUGUGUGUAUAUAUGUGUGUGUUUGCAUGCCAGUGAUUUUCCACAAGAUUGACAUCACAGUCAAUAUAGCUGCUAGUAUGUGAUGUGUCAAACCGACAAGUGGUGGACCUUGAAGUUCAUUCUUGGCCGGGAUGGCAGGUGAUUUGAGCAUUAUAUGCGCCUUGUGUGUGUGUAUUGUUUAAAUUUAAACUAUGGCUAUGGCCAGCCGACCAUCAUGUUGUUUUUGUUUACAUUUAACUAUGCAGUAUAUUGGUUAUAGUUUGUGUUUGUGCGCAAUUUUUAUUGUGCUGCGUCACCGGGUGGUGUUCAUGUUAGGUUAAGCGUAAAAGCGUGCCUAAUGUGGUGCAUGCCUGUGUGCGUGUGCAAUGGGAUUGUGGACGCGUGAACUGUGGUGCUGUGGUA
RNAcentral lists this ribosomal RNA (936 nucleotides) under Dictyocotyle coeliaca. RNAcentral describes it as "eukaryotic LSU rRNA". It matches the Rfam family "Eukaryotic large subunit ribosomal RNA", at positions 61 to 626 of the family's 3401-position model. The record is from RNAcentral. Lineage: Eukaryota; Metazoa; Platyhelminthes; Monogenea; Monocotylidea; Monocotylidae.